Molecule: long non-coding RNA, 929 nt
Organism: Eriocheir sinensis (Chinese mitten crab)
Lineage: Eukaryota; Metazoa; Arthropoda; Malacostraca; Decapoda; Varunidae
Exons: 3
Source: RefSeq, a predicted model, not a curated record
GACUGACGCUGACUAAGGAAACAACAACAACAACAGCAACAUGGCGGCCGUCUUCAAGCUGGUGAUCAUGGUGUUCCUGCUGUGCCUGGUGUCCUGUGGCAUGGCGCUCCCUGACCCUGACCCAACACGCUUCCGCUCCCAUCGCAAGGGCGGCGGCGGCGGCGGCAAGCACAGGGGCGGCGGACACAAGCGCGGGGGCGGCGGCUACGGAGGUGGUGGACACAAGCACGGGUAGACAGGUGAGCAAGAGCCCUUCGCCGCCCCUUCACCCUCCCCUGCAGCACCUCCAUCAGGAUCAACACCCCUUACUGCUCCUCCCCUCCAGCAGCCCCACGCCUCCCUUGCCUUAACCAGCACCUCCCCACUACCACCCUUCAGAAUCGUCACUCCCCUACACUCGCCUGACGAAGGGAAACAACGGGAAACUCAGCUCGUCAUUGCCCUCGUGUAUUCUGCAUUCCUGUAUUGUCAUUGCUUUGUGUCUUGCCUUCAGACUCAGAGCGAAGAAUAUAAGUGUAUUACCGAGACAGGUGGUUAAUGAGGAAGUGUACAGGUAGAUUAAUUACUGUGUCACACCUGUAUGUCGUCUUGUUGCUAGGUGAGUCUUUUCUUCUUGGUGUGUGUAUGAGGGGGGGGGGAGAGUGAGUGAGAGGGAGAGUGGGAAAAUGGAGUGUGGGGGGAAUGAGUGAGAGUGAACAUAUGGUCGUGUGUGUGUGUGUGUGUGUGUGUGUGUGUGUCGUGGUCGUCCUUCUCAGUUUCAAGAUGUAUCCAGUCUUCAAAAGUAGUUCACUGUAUAAAUAUUGUGUUCACUUGUCUUUGUAUAGUCAAUCACCUUAUCUAUUGUCUAUUCAACCAUUAUUUAUAUCAUCGUGAGUGAUGUGAUAUUAGUUGCUUGCUGUGCACAUUUCACAAUAAAGAGGCGAAUAUAA